This 956-nucleotide long non-coding RNA is filed under the name Homo sapiens (human). RNAcentral describes it as "HSALNT0277168". Lineage: Eukaryota; Metazoa; Chordata; Mammalia; Primates; Hominidae. The record is from RNAcentral.
AUUUUCUGGAUGAAGGUUCCUCUGGCAUGGGCUGUCAGGGAUGUCAAAUGGCUCAUUGAGAAAGCCUCUGCUCAGCAUGCCAACAGAAGACACUGCUUUUCCACAUCUACUCUGAUGUCAGGGAAGAGGUGUCCCUGGGUGCUACAGCCGUGGGCAUGAUAGAGACCAACCAGGAGAGGCAAGGCCCUAAACUAAUUAAAGAGUAGCACUAUGUGUCUCAGAGGGUGAAAGAAGAUGGAGGAACGCCUCUGAGACUGAAAGGAGUAGAGCUGCUAGAUCUGAAAUGCAGACUAAAACAGCAGGAAAAAUGGAACAACGCGUGGACACUCUGGACUGCUGACCAAAUGCUGGAGAGGCUUCCUCUGCUCUCUGGUAUCCUCUUGGAUGAAGUUGGGUGAGGAUGUCUCCAAAACAAUCAAAAUUUUGUGUCCCUCCAGCCUGGCAAAAUGAGAGCAUCAAACCCAGAUGUAAGUUGAUUUUAAUAAAAGAAAGCCAUUCAAUAUUCUCGUAUAUCUGAGUUUGUUGCUUGAGAUUCACAACAAGCUACACAGGCUUAGCUGCCCUUAGGUUUUUUAAUUUGUCCCAGAAACCUUUAAAUGCAUUCCUCUUUAUUUGAUUUUUUAAGUUAACUCAAAGUGAAUUUGUUACUUGCACCCAAAAGGACCCUACCUAAAACAUAGGUUCUAUCUGUGCAGCCACAUUCAUUUCUGAAACUAUCUUCUUUUAUCUCUGGCUAGGAAUGUUUUAAAUCAUAUUGUCAGACUCAUUUUGAGGGUCCUGUUAUCCAACUUGAGGUGUUUUGCUUUUUUGAAGAGUCAGUUCCCGGGAUCAAGUUCAUAUUUCACUUCCCGUUUGACAGCUGCAUUAUCAAAGUUUAGCGCCUGGGGUUUCCUCUCUUCACCCCCUGCAGAUUCCAUGCUGACCUGUUUCUUUCAUUUCCUCAUCAUUUCCAGGCA